GAUGAACGCUGGCGGCGUGCCUAAUACAUGCAAGUCGAGCGAACGGGCGAGAAGCUUGCUUCUCUGAUGUUAGCGGCGGACGGGUGAGUAACACGUGGAUAACCUACCUAUAAGACUGGGAUAACUUCGGGAAACCGGAGCUAAUACCGGAUAAUAUUUUGAACCGCAUGGUUCAAAAGUGAAAGACGGUCUUGCUGUCACUUAUAGAUGGAUCCGCGCUGCAUUAGCUAGUUGGUAAGGUAACGGCUUACCAAGGCAACGAUGCAUAGCCGACCUGAGAGGGUGAUCGGCCACACUGGAACUGAGACACGGUCCAGACGCCUACGGGAGGCAGCAGUAGGGAAUCUUCCGCAAUGGGCGAAAGCCUGACGGAGCAACGCCGCGUGAGUGAUGAAGGUCUUCGGAUCGUAAAACUCUGUUAUUAGGGAAGAACAUAUGUGUAAGUAACUGUGCACAUCUUGACGGUACCUAAUCAGAAAGCCACGGCUAACUACGUG
This 497-nucleotide ribosomal RNA is filed under the name uncultured bacterium. Its description in RNAcentral is "partial 16S ribosomal RNA". It matches the Rfam family "Bacterial small subunit ribosomal RNA", at positions 28 to 507 of the family's 1533-position model. The record is from RNAcentral.